UACGUAGGGGGCGAGCGUUGUCCGGAUUUAUUGGGCGUAAAGAGCGUGUAGGCGGCUUGGUAGGUCUCGCGUCAAAACCUGAGGCUCAACCUCAGUUCGCGUGGGAAACCACCUAGCUAGAGUCCGGAAGAGGAGAACGGAAUUCCCAGUGUAGCGGUGAAAUGCGCAGAUAUUGGGAGGAACAUCGGUGGCGAAGGCGACCAACUGGUUGGUGAUUGACGCUGAGGCGCGAAAGCGUGGGGAGCAAACAGG
This 252-nucleotide ribosomal RNA is filed under the name uncultured bacterium. Its description in RNAcentral is "partial 16S ribosomal RNA". It matches the Rfam family "Bacterial small subunit ribosomal RNA", at positions 524 to 776 of the family's 1533-position model. The record is from RNAcentral.